Molecule: ribosomal RNA, 424 nt
Filed under: uncultured prokaryote
Description: bacterial SSU rRNA
Rfam family: Bacterial small subunit ribosomal RNA
Source: RNAcentral
UGGGGAAUAUUGCACAAUGGGCGCAAGCCUGAUGCAGCCAUGCCGCGUGAAUGAUGAAGGCCUUAGGGUUGUAAAAUUCUUUCGCUAGGGAUGAUAAUGACAGUACCUAGUAAAGAAGCCCCGGCUAACUUCGUGCCAGCAGCCGCGGUAAUACGGAGGGGGCUUGCGUUGUUCGGAAUUACUGGGCGUAAAGCGCACGUAGGCGGACCUUUAAGUCAGAUGUGAAAUCCGGAGGCUCAACCUCGGAACUGCAUUUGAAACUGGGAGUCUAGAGAUCAGGAGAGGUUAGCGGAAUACCGAGUGUAGAGGUGAAAUUCGGAGAUAUUCGGUGGAACACCAGUGGCGAAGGCGGCUAACUGGACUGAUACUGACGCUGAGGUGCGAAAGUGUGGGGAGCAGACAGGAUUAGAUACCCCCGUAGUCC